GCAGGGCCAGUUGGGGAUGCCAGGGCUCGGAGAGUAAGGGAGGAAAUUCACAGAGAGGUCUUUUGAGGGCAGUUUAAACACUACAAGUUUAAAUGGGUUAAACAAAUGCAGGUGUGGUGUGGUGUGGCUAUUUUGCCAAUGGCUGGUGCUCCCAACUUCACUCUUUCCCAGAGAUAUUAAAGGAAAAAAUUCAAGCAAAAAUCAGUUAUGACUUUUAAGUGGCAGAUAACCAGCGGGUCACCUUCUGAAAGCUGUUUUGACUUUGUGAGCCAGAAGGUCCUUAUGGAGUACUAGGCAUCAGCUAAGAUCCUUGGAAGGAACCAGAAUGCUGCCCAAGGAGUGUUCCAAGGACCAUGUGAAGUGUUAAAUAUGGGGCAUGAAAAUGGAGUUCACCAUGGACAUGGGUCUCUUGAGGCUACAAGCCUCUGGAGUGGCAGGACCAAUCAAGAUUCAAACCAUCUGACUAUGAACAGCUGGUUCUGAAAAAGCAGAAUCUUUUCUUUUGGAGAGGAGGAGCUGAUGUGGAACUGCAUCUCACAGUUUUUGCCAUCACCAGGGACCUGGGAGACCUGAGAACAAACCCUGUUAGAAAUGACUGAGAUACUUUUCCAGCCUUUUCCAUACCUGCUUCAUUCAGCAGCAGAUACACAUCAUCUUAAUUUUUGUGCUGAUUUCUUUAUAGAAGCUCUUAUUCUCUUUCAUGCCCCUCACUAGUUUUAACUUGAGCUUCCAUUUGACUGGCUGUGUUCCAUUUGUUGUGUCAUGCCUGGGUGAUGCUUCUGUGGUCCUCUCAAGGAGCCUGUUCCCAUUUUC
Molecule: long non-coding RNA, 813 nt
Organism: Lepidothrix coronata (blue-crowned manakin)
Lineage: Eukaryota; Metazoa; Chordata; Aves; Passeriformes; Pipridae
Exons: 6
Source: RefSeq, a predicted model, not a curated record